Non-coding RNA from Macaca mulatta (Rhesus monkey), 429 nucleotides. The record is from RefSeq and is a predicted model, not a curated record. NCBI's taxonomy places the organism in Eukaryota, Metazoa, Chordata, Mammalia, Primates, Cercopithecidae.
AGGACUGCUCAAGCAGAUCUUCCUUCCACAGCUUGAGGACCAGGGAAGCGUGCCCAGAGGAAGUCAUGGGUGAGCCAAGGUGGAUGACACCUGUAAACCCUGGAUGCCCAGCCAGAGUCCUCAGAAGCACCCUAGGUCUUCUUCCUUCUCCCUAGACUCUCCAGCGUGGUCCAGGCCGCAUCAUCUUGCCCUGAGACCAUCUCACUGCUAGUCUUCCCACCUCCAGCCUCGCCUCUCCAGGACUGUCCCCUCCCUCCCAUCCGCUCUUCCUUAAAAAAAAAAAAUCAUCCUCACAUUGUGGUGACAUUAAAUGUGAUUUGCACAAUUCUUUCACAAAUAUCAAAUUAAUAUGAUUUUCCUCUCUAAUCUCCUUGCACAACAUAUUGGAAAUUACAAUUAUUAUUAAAACAAAAAAUACAUACAUAUUUA